This 253-nucleotide unclassified non-coding RNA is filed under the name uncultured Pirellulaceae bacterium. RNAcentral's name for it is "contains 16S-23S intergenic spacer region". It matches the Rfam family "Bacterial small subunit ribosomal RNA", at positions 524 to 776 of the family's 1533-position model. The record is from RNAcentral. Lineage: Bacteria; Pseudomonadati; Planctomycetota; Planctomycetia; Pirellulales; Pirellulaceae.
UACGAACCGGACGAACGUUAUUCGGAAUUAUUGGGCUUAAAGGGUGCGUAGGCGGUGCGGUAAGUGAGGUGUGAAAUCCCACGGCUCAACCGCGGAAUUGCGCUUCAUACUGCCGUGCUAGAGGGAGACAGGGGUAAGCGGAAUUGAUGGUGGAGCGGUGAAAUGCGUUGAUAUCAUCAGGAACACCAGUGGCGAAAGCGGCUUACUGGGUCUCUUCUGACGCUGAGGUACGAAAGCUAGGGUAGCGAACGGG